GAUCAUGGCUCAGGAUGAACGCUAGCUACAGGCUUAACACAUGCAAGUCGAGGGGCAGCAUGAACUUAGCUUGCUAAGUUUGAUGGCGACCGGCGCACGGGUGAGUAACACGUAUCCAACCUGCCGAUGACUCGGGGAUAGCCUUUCGAAAGAAAGAUUAAUACCCGAUGGCAUAGUUCUUCCGCAUGGUUGAACUAUUAAAGAAUUUCGGUCAUCGAUGGGGAUUCGUUCCAUUAGGUUG
RNAcentral lists this ribosomal RNA (241 nucleotides) under uncultured bacterium. RNAcentral describes it as "partial 16S ribosomal RNA". It matches the Rfam family "Bacterial small subunit ribosomal RNA", at positions 15 to 248 of the family's 1533-position model. The record is from RNAcentral.